AUGAACGCUGGCGGCGUGCUUAACCCAUGCCAGUCGAACGGGAUCCAAGGGGUGCUUGCACUUUUUGGUGAGAGUGGCGAACGGGUGAGUAACACGUGAGUAACCUGUCCUUUUCUUUGGGAUAAGCAUUCGAAAGGGUGUUUAAUACCUUAUGUUCUGUCUGCCUCGCAUGGGGUGGGUGGGAAAGGCUUUGGCCGGAUUUGGGUGGGCUCGCGGUCUAUCAGCUUGUUGGUGGGGUGAUGGCUUACCAAGGCUUUGACGGGUAGCCGGCCUGAGAGGGUGGUCGGUCACAUUGGGACUGAGAUACGGCCCAGACUCCUGCGGGAGGCAGCAGUGGGGGAUAUUGCACAAUGGGCGAAAGCCUGAUGCAGCGACGCCGCGUGGGGGAUGAAGGCCUUCGGGUUGUAAACUUCUGUUGCUCUGAACAAGGCAUGCCAGUGGGUGUGUUGAGUGUAGGGGUUGAUUAGCGCCGGCUAACUACGUG
RNAcentral lists this ribosomal RNA (484 nucleotides) under uncultured bacterium. Its description in RNAcentral is "partial 16S ribosomal RNA". It matches the Rfam family "Bacterial small subunit ribosomal RNA", at positions 29 to 507 of the family's 1533-position model. The record is from RNAcentral.